UUAAAAAAAAAUACCCCAAGAACAAACCCUACGAUAUGCUUUUUCAUGGGAUAAUGAUGAUACAAAGAAAAGAAAAACAACUAUCCGGGGGAAAAAAUCUUUCUCUGAUGGGACAGAGAAAAAAUCUGUUUUCUAUUAAUUUCUUUCUCACUCACUCGAUUUCUGUUUUUUACUUUUCCUUGAUUUUCACUAAAAAGAAACAAUUUUUUACCUCAUCUUAGGAAGAAGAAGAAGUCAGGCGCAUAGGUUUCAUCUGCAAUAAUGAAUGUAUAGAAUUGACGGUUUACACAAGAGAAUGAAGGUGAUGAAUCUUAAUAUUCAUAAAGAUCUGCAGAUGGCACGGAGGGUUAUACAAUCUCACCAAGAUGAAGGCCAAGCAACGGAUAUGAUAAUGAUUCAAUCAUAGCUACUUUCCUUGCUGAUAUGUGUGAAGUGCUUUGAAUCCAGAGACAAUAGUACUAUAUAGCUGGCAGGGUCUGCCAUUUGGAUUUGGUUUGUGCAGUAUCAUGUUCAUCAUCAUAAUUUCAAUACUGUUGAAGGCAGAGGCAUUUCAGAUUCAAUGAAGAUGGUGAUGACAGUGAAUGGGAAAAUGAUUCAUAUAGUAUAAAUUGUUGGUUUUAUAAUUAAACUUCGUUUUUUAUACGCCAAAUUCAAAAAUGUAUAAAAUUCCUGGAGUUUCUUUAUAAAAACGCAAUGGAUGUGCUCUGGAAAUAUAAAUUUGGGUGAAUAAUUAAGGUCAGGAGUAGAAUUAUGGACCACAAGGAUAUGGUGCUCACGAUGCAUAUUUGCGCAAAAGUGGGAAUCCUUGGCUGUAUAACAGGUUCACAUGCACAACAACAUUGCUAUGCAUUAGUGGUGUUAGGCGUCUUUUGUAACUUUCUUAUUUAUAUGCUUUGGAAGCUUUGUGUCCAUGUAUUCUCUUUUCAAAUGAUU
This is a long non-coding RNA of Papaver somniferum (opium poppy), 933 nucleotides long. RefSeq lists it as uncharacterized. The record is from RefSeq and is a predicted model, not a curated record. The transcript is spliced from 5 exons. NCBI's taxonomy places the organism in Eukaryota, Viridiplantae, Streptophyta, Magnoliopsida, Ranunculales, Papaveraceae.